GCAAGGUUGAAGCGUGACCUGCUCCCAACAAUGAUGAAUGGCCUAAUGUACUGGCCGUUGUGUGAUUUCUUGACAUAUAAAGUAAUCCCUGUCCAUUUGCAGCCAUUAGCCAACAGUGCAUUCGCGUAUGCUUGGACGAUAUAUUUGACGUAUAUGGCCAGUUCCAAGAAAGCCAUUGCUGUUUAGUAAGCAACCCCUUCUCCAGAAGCCUCAAAACAUCACAAAUUGAGAUAAAACUACUGCUGAUCAGUCCUCAUAUUGAGUUGCUCAAACAUUGUUUACAGAAUGAUAUAGAAUAGGUCAAGACCCUUGAUUCAAUAGCUACAAACUGAUUAUUUCUUCCAUUAAUUUUCCUUGUUUUCAAUUUCCA
This 370-nucleotide unclassified non-coding RNA is filed under the name Hevea brasiliensis (rubber tree). The record is from RNAcentral. Lineage: Eukaryota; Viridiplantae; Streptophyta; Magnoliopsida; Malpighiales; Euphorbiaceae.